UUAAGUUAAUAAGGGCGCACGGUGGAUGCCUUGGCACUAGGAGCCGACGAAGGACGUGACAAACGACGAUAUGCCUUGGGUAGCUGUAAGUAAGCGAUGAUCCAGGGAUUUCCGAAUGGGGGAACCCAACAGGUAAUACCUGUUACCCACAUCUGUUAAGGAUGUGAGGAGGAAGACGCAGUGAACUGAAACAUCUAAGUAGCUGCAGGAAGAGAAAGCAAAAGCGAUUGCCUUAGUAGCGGCGAGCGAAACGGCAGAAGGGCAAACCGAAGAGUUUACUCUUCGGGGUUGUAGGACUGCAAUGUGGACUCAAAGAUUAUAGAAGAAUGAUUUGGGAAGAUCAGCCAAAGAGAGUAAUAGCCUCGUAUUUAAAAUAGUCUUUGUACCUAGCAGUAUCCUGAGUACGGCGGGACACGUGAAAUCCCGUCGGAAUCUGGGAGGACCAUCUCCCAACCCUAAAUACUCCCUAGUGACCGAUAGUGAACCAGUACCGUGAGGGAAAGGUGAAAAGCACCCCGGGAGGGGAGUGAAAUAGAACCUGAAACCGUGUGCCUACAACAAGUUCGAGCCCGUUAAUGGGUGAGAGCGUGCCUUUUGUAGAAUGAACCGGCGAGUUACGUUAUGAUGCGAGGUUAAGUUGAAGAGACGGAGCCGUAGGGAAACCGAGUCUGAAUAGGGCGCCUUAGUAUCAUGACGUAGACCCGAAACCAUGUGACCUACCCAUGAGCAGGUUGAAGGUGCGGUAAGACGCACUGGAGGACCGAACCAGGGCACGUUGAAAAGUGCUUGGAUGACUUGUGGGUAGCGGAGAAAUUCCAAACGAACUUGGAGAUAGCUGGUUCUCUCCGAAAUAGCUUUAGGGCUAGCGUCGACAUUAGAGAUUCUUGGAGGUAGAGCACUGUUUGGGUGAGGGGUCCAUCCCGGAUUACCAAUCUCAGAUAAACUCCGAAUGCCAAUGAAUUAUGGUCGGCAGUCAGACUGCGAGUGCUAAGAUCCGUAGUCGAAAGGGAAACAGCCCAGACCACCAGCUAAGGUCCCAAAAUAAUUGUUAAGUGGAAAAGGAUGUGGGGUUGCACAGACAACUAGGAUGUUAGCUUAGAAGCAGCUAUUCAUUCAAAGAGUGCGUAAUAGCUCACUAGUCGAGUGACCCUGCGCCGAAAAUGUACCGGGGCUAAAACAAUUUACCGAAGCUGUGGAUACCUUUAUAGGUAUGGUAGGAGAGCGUUCUAUGUGUGAUGAAGGUAUACCGUGAGGAGUGCUGGAACGCAUAGAAGUGAGAAUGCCGGUAUGAGUAGCGAAAGACAGGUGAGAAUCCUGUCCACCGUAAGACUAAGGUUUCCAGGGGAAGGCUCGUCCGCCCUGGGUUAGUCGGGACCUAAGGAGAGACCGAAAGGUGUAUCCGAUGGACAACAGGUUGAUAUUCCUGUACUAGAGUAUGUAGUGAUGGAGGGACGCAGUAGGCUAACUAAAGCAGACGAUUGGAAGAGUCUGUCUAAGCAGUGAGGUGUGAAUUGAGUCAAAUGCUUAAUUCUAUAACAUUGAGCUGUGAUGGGGAGCGAAGUUUAGUAGCGAAGUUAGUGACGUCACACUGCCAAGAAAAGCUUCUAGCGUUUAAACAUACUCUACCCGUACCGCAAACCGACACAGGUAGUCGAGGCGAGUAGCCUCAGGUGAGCGAGAGAACUCUCGUUAAGGAACUCGGCAAAAUGACCCCGUAACUUCGGGAGAAGGGGUGCUGACUUAAAGUCAGCCGCAGUGAAUAGGCCCAAGCAACUGUUUAUCAAAAACACAGCUCUCUGCUAAAUCGUAAGAUGAUGUAUAGGGGGUGACGCCUGCCCGGUGCUGGAAGGUUAAGAGGAGUGCUUAGCGUAAGCGAAGGUAUGAAUUGAAGCCCCAGUAAACGGCGGCCGUAACUAUAACGGUCCUAAGGUAGCGAAAUUCCUUGUCGGGUAAGUUCCGACCCGCACGAAAGGCGUAAUGAUUUGGGCACUGUCUCAACGAGAGACUCGGUGAAAUUUUAGUACCUGUGAAGAUGCAGGUUACCCGCGACAGGACGGAAAGACCCCAUGGAGCUUUACUGCAGUUUGAUAUUGAGUGUCUGUACCACAUGUACAGGAUAGGUAGGAGUCUAAGAGAUCGGGACGCCAGUUUCGAAGGAGACGCUGUUGGGAUACUACCCUUGUGUUAUGGCCACUCUAACCCAGAUAGGUGAUCCCUAUCGGAGACAGUGUCUGACGGGCAGUUUGACUGGGGCGGUCGCCUCCUAAAAGG
RNAcentral lists this ribosomal RNA (2271 nucleotides) under Streptococcus pneumoniae. RNAcentral's name for it is "bacterial LSU rRNA". It matches the Rfam family "Bacterial large subunit ribosomal RNA", at positions 3 to 2297 of the family's 2925-position model. Lineage: Bacteria; Bacillati; Bacillota; Bacilli; Lactobacillales; Streptococcaceae. The record is from RNAcentral.